Molecule: ribosomal RNA, 274 nt
Filed under: uncultured bacterium
Lineage: Bacteria
Description: partial 16S ribosomal RNA
Rfam family: Bacterial small subunit ribosomal RNA
Source: RNAcentral
AUACGGAGGGUGCAAGCGUUAUUCGGAAUCACUGGGCGUAAAGGGUGCGUAGGCGGUUUGGUAAGUCUGAUGUGAAAUCCUAUGGCUCAACCAUAGAACUGCAUUGGAAACUGCUAAACUAGAAUACUGAUGGGGCAGAUGGAAUUAGUGGUGUAGGGGUAAAAUCCGUAGAUAUCACUAGGAAUACCGAAAGCGAAAGCGAUCUGCUGGGAAGUUAUUGACGCUGAGGCACGAAAGCGUGGGGAGCAAACGGGAUUAGAAACCCGAGUAGUCC